Molecule: ribosomal RNA, 216 nt
Filed under: Glomeromycotina sp.
Lineage: Eukaryota; Fungi; Glomeromycota
Description: partial small subunit ribosomal RNA
Rfam family: Eukaryotic small subunit ribosomal RNA (bases 87-216)
Source: RNAcentral
GGGUCAGUAGGUUGGUCGUGCCACCGGUACGUACUGGUCUCACUGAUUCCUCCUUCCUGAAGAACCGUAAUGCCAUCAGUUUGGUGUUGCGGGGAAACAGGACUGUUACUUUGAAAAAAUUAGAGUGUUUAAAGCAAGCUAACGCUUGAAUACAUUAGCAUGCAAUAAUGAAAUAGGACGAUCGAUCCUAUUUUGUUGGUUUCUAGGCUUGACGUA